This 74-nucleotide transfer RNA is filed under the name Actinomycetota bacterium. RNAcentral's name for it is "Actinobacteria bacterium (soil metagenome) tRNA-Asn". It matches the Rfam family "tRNA". Rfam says of the family: Transfer RNA (tRNA) molecules are approximately 80 nucleotides in length. Lineage: Bacteria; Bacillati; Actinomycetota. The record is from RNAcentral.
UCCGGUGUAGCUUAAGCAGGCAGAGCCGCCGACUGUUAAUCGGCAUGGUACUGGUUCGAGGCCAGUCACCGGAG